AGGCACAGUUAAAACGUCAAUCAUCACAAGAUCAAACUUCAGUACCAGAGUAACCCUAAAUCAUCCUGAUUUGUCAAAAGACUACAUAGAACAGUCUAGAGGUGGAAACUGAUAGAUCAUUUGAAGAGGAUCCUGUUAAAGCAGUCAUAAAUAUGCUUCACAAAACAAUGAACACCUUGUUACAGCAUAUCUUGAACAGCCUAGAACAGAGAACAGUCUGGAGGCGGAAACUGGUGAAUCACUUGAAGAGGAAAUUGUUAAAGCACAGAGACGUGUACCAAGGAACAACAAGACAUGAUUGUUGCAGCAUAUCUUG
Long non-coding RNA from Saccostrea cuccullata (small rock oyster), 316 nucleotides. RefSeq lists it as uncharacterized. The transcript is spliced from 3 exons. Lineage: Eukaryota; Metazoa; Mollusca; Bivalvia; Ostreida; Ostreidae. The record is from RefSeq and is a predicted model, not a curated record.